GGGACUGAAAGAGCCCUUUUAGGUGAAGCAAUGGUUCAAUUGCACUUCUUCUAAUCUAGUCUGCUGAAUUCAGAGCUCAGAUAAUGUUAACUCUGUUUCUCUUAAUAUUUUGAGCCUUGUGGUGAACUACAUAUACCUGUCUGGAUAUGCCCCCUGCUGACUGCUCCUGUGGCUCCUCCCACAGACCCCGGUAUAAAGGCGAUCAAGGCCUGAGCCCGGCCCUCAGUCUCCAGUACAUUGUAUGAUGGACACUCACUCCUGGUUCCUUCUUCCAGUCAAUAAAAGCCGAUAUCUCGCCUUACGUCUCAGUGUGAGUUAUUGAUGGUGCAUCAAUUUUAUUGACUGGAAGUUUUAAAACAUGGAAAGCGUUUUGCGUCCGGACCGGUUGGAUUUGGACCCCCAAGACCCUGACGCAGCUCUCGCUUUUGAACACUGGCUUGCAUGCUUCCAAUCGUACUUGGAGGAGGUUCGUGCAACUGAACCCGCCGUGAUGCACAGAAUUCUCCUCUCGAGGGUCACCCCAAAAGUUUACGCCAUUAUCCGGGACCUGCCGACCUACGAUGGGGCACUGGACGCCCUCAAAAGACAGUACCUGCGGCCGGUGAACACCGUCUACGCAAGACAUCACUUAGCUACCCGACGACAACGGCCUGGCGAAUCGUGCGCUGAGUUUCUCCGAGCACUACAGACACUCGUCCGAGCUUGUGACUGCAAGACGCUCACGGCAGAACAGCAUGCGGAGCUGCUGGUGCGAGACGCCUUUGUGAUGGGACUGAGAACUUCGUGAGAUCCAGUACAGGAUCAACAGAGGCUUGAUGAGAGCAAGAAAAAGAGCCGCUGAAGUUGCUCACUGAGUCUGGCAGCAUCUGUAGAGGGAAAUGGACAAUGCUUCAGAUCUCUUAAUGGGAAAUUAUAUCUCUGCGUGGUGACAGAAAGAAUCACACAAAGUGGAUCACAUGGGUUUCUUCCCUCAUCCAUUGUGCAGACAUACAGAACCAACACGCAUAUCUCUGGAAUGUGGGAGGAAAGCCAUGCCGUUAGAGGGAAGAUGUGCAAACCACAAAGGUAGCACCCGACAUCAGGACGUCAGGCAGAAGCUCUACUAUUUCCUCUUUCCUUCUGUUCUUCCCAACAACCAUUCUGGUAACGUCCUUUGUGAUGUUGAGAGAGUUGAGAGUUAUUUUUAAAUCAGUUUCCCAAAUUCUGGAAUGGACUUUAUGCUAAUAGCAUCUUUUGUGGGAACAGUAUAUAUGCUCUGGAAGAGAUCAUGGUUUCAAGUAAAAAGAGGACUACUUAUGUUUAUGCCCAACACCUUCGACCUCUAAAUGCAAAAAGAAACUGCAGAAUCUGAAAUAAAAACAUAAAAUCUGGAAAUACGUCAUCUAUGGAGAGAAAAACAGAGUUAACGUUUAAAGCUGAUCGCCUUUCUGGCAUUGCAUUUACUCUUACUUAAUGAUUUUUAGAUCUCCAAGUUUCCUCUGAAAACAAUUUAAACAUUUUCUGGCUCAUACUUUAAAGAAAAACAAGGCAAUAUAAAAUGUCUCACUAAUUAGUAAAUGCUAUCUAAAAUACAGUAGCAAUGUUUAUUCACUAUAAUUUACUGAAUUUUCAUUCUAUGAAUAAAGAAUCAGCAAAUUACAAUGAUUAAAUAGAUUGUAUGCCAUUAUAAUUUACUCACAUUUCAAGCAAGCUAAUUAUUGACAUUCCUAUUGAGUGUUGCAUUCAGGGUAAUGAGUGCAUCUACCCACUCCACUGAUUUUACAGUGCAGAAAAAGCAGACCAGAACAAAGUACUUGAAGAAUCUACACCAGGGGUGGGCAAACUUUUUGACUUGAGGGCCACAAAGGGUUCUGAAAUUUGACAGGGGGGCCGGACCAGGAGCAGAUGGACGGAGUGUUUUGGUAAUACACCUCAUAAGAGAAAAUAAAAUAUCAUGGGAUAUGUAGAAAACACGUGCUUUAAUUUCAAUUGAAAAUGAACAAAUGCAUUACAACAAAAUAUCUGUCUUUGAAGUCCCAUGGUAUUUAGCUAUUUAUUGAAAUGACUUUUAAAACACUGAAAAUUAAAUGAAUAAAAUACAGCUUUUUUAAAUAGUAACAGUUAUUAUUUUAAAGCACUGAAAAUUCUGUUAUCCUUCAAGAUACUAUCAUCAUCACUCUCCUCUUGACUGUCUUUAUUUCAAAAACGGUAGGAGAUGCAGGUCUACUUGUCCUGCUCCUCCUUAUUCAAUUGUCCCCUGUGCCAAAACUCAACAACGACCCGCACAAUGACAGAACAGUGAGAGCGCGCCAGUAUGCGGAGCGCAUUAUUUGAUCUGGAGCGCAUUUUUUAUUAUGAGAACGUACUUGCACCUGCGCACUACUCAUGUCCAUCACUUAACAGAAAUGACAUGUAACAUGUAAGGUUUAUUGAAAAAAAUAUUUUCAAAUGCAUUUUUUACAUAACACAACGAAGAAACUUAUUUUUAAUUUCAGUGGGAACAGUGUUGUUGGUCUCCCUUUUUAGCCAGCGCAUCAAAGUCUGGAUUUAGUUUUGUUGUGGCAAUUUUCAGGAUGGAUCUGAGGUGUUGGUCAGUUAACUUGGAUCUGUGGCUGGCUUUGUUGAUGUUCAUGACGCUGAACGCCUGUUCACACAAAUAGGUCGAGCCGAACAAAGAGUAAAGUGCAAAUGUGGAGUAAUACGCUGCACCUCAACAAAGGUCAAUGUGUAGCGGUGUGCUACAUGCAGCGCUAAAAUUACGUCACGGAGUUGGUAACUGCAGUCGAAGAAAAAAAACUUUAUUCGAAAUCCCCAGCCUCACUUUUAAGCCUCCCUCAACCUGCCCCCCUCCUGCGCAGAGGCUCCAAAGCUCUGUGCUCGCAAAUCCCUGCAGGCUAUCUCCCUUAGCCGGAACGCUGGCUAAUUGUGAGCCGGUUCGGAUGUGCCAGUAAAUGGGUCGCCACAAAUGUAUAUAGAGUGCGUCAUCUAUUGGGAAAACGCCAGAAUUGCGGGGAAAAAACGUUAACAAGGUUUAUUAAUAUAAUUUCAUCAAGUUCUGCGGGCCGGAUUAAAAAGCUUAACGGGCCGCAUAUGACCCACGUGCCGUAGUUUGCCCAUGCCUGAUCUACACAGUCUGUUUUAUUUAUAAUAAAGUGAUCAACACAGAACAUAUAAUAAAACCAGGUUUAAAAAAAAAACUAUACCUUUUGCAAAUUCGCACAAUGCCUUUAGUCAUACACCUAGUCAGGAAAUGAAACAUCAGAAACUGCAGUAGGAAAUAAAAAUAUUUUAAUUGCACACAAGAAAUGUUCUUCUUAACAAUCAUAAUCUUGAGUUUUUUGGGUAAAUAUUAAAUUUCUCAUUAAUUUGGUAAAGAAAGUGGAUUCCUCUUUUGCAGACAGCAAAUCAAUGCCAGGUUAAUUGUCAAUACUAAAUAUGAACAUGAUUGCUGGAUCUUCAAUUGGGGAAUCAGAGAGGGCAGAUGACAUCAGCGUCUAGUGGGGAACACUUUGGAUCUAGUGGAUAUAAUUCCAUUAGUUUCAAGAUAAUUCUGGAGAAGGAUAGUAAUGGUUCUUGUGUUGAGAUUCUAAAUUGGAGAAAGUCCAAUUUUGAAAGCAUCAGAAAGGAUCUGGCAUAUACAGUAGCGCCAAUAUCUCCGAACCUCCAUCCAAUUAAUUAAGGUUAAUAUAAGUAAGGUUUAGGAAAAGACAAUUCAACUCAUGUGAAAAUGUUGAAUAAAAGGUCUCCAAGUUCCUUCAAAUUUAACUGAAGGAUCAAAAACCACACUUCUAAUUUUUUCUAAACUCAAACAAGAAAUAGUUUGAGAAAACCACUGAAAUACAGUUGGAGGAUUAAUUUCUUUCCAAUUCAAUAAAAUAGAUCUUCUAGCCAUUAAUGUAACAAAUACAAUCAUUCGUUGAGAUGAAGCGGAUAAACGAUUAUUAUCCGUCAUUGGUAAACCGAAAAUUGCAGUAAGAGGAUGCAGUUGAAAAUUAAUAUUUAAAACUCUUGAAAUUGGAUGGAGGUUCGGAGUUAUUGACGCUACUGUAUAUGUACUUAAUAUUAUUCAAUGGCCAAUGUUGGUUAGCGUUUUUUUUUGUUUUUUUUCUCUCUUUUUUUGGGGGGUUUUUCUUUUUUUUCUCUUUUUACUUCUUUGUUCAUUAAUGUUCUGAGUUUGAGAGGUUAUAUAUUUUUACUAUUACAUAUCUGAAUGUCUAUUUAAACUAUUAAUUAUGUACUCUCAAACAUUUUGUAUUCAUGUUUCAUUUAUGUUUGUUUAAAACUAAUAAAAAG
RNA transcript from Hypanus sabinus (Atlantic stingray), 4272 nucleotides. RefSeq lists it as uncharacterized. The record is from RefSeq and is a predicted model, not a curated record. NCBI's taxonomy places the organism in Eukaryota, Metazoa, Chordata, Chondrichthyes, Myliobatiformes, Dasyatidae. The transcript is spliced from 4 exons.